RNAcentral lists this ribosomal RNA (726 nucleotides) under Priestia megaterium. Its description in RNAcentral is "bacterial SSU rRNA". It matches the Rfam family "Bacterial small subunit ribosomal RNA", at positions 51 to 758 of the family's 1533-position model. Lineage: Bacteria; Bacillati; Bacillota; Bacilli; Caryophanales; Bacillaceae. The record is from RNAcentral.
AUACAUGCAAGUCGAGCGAACUGAUUAGAAGCUUGCUUCUAUGACGUUAGCGGCGGACGGGAGAGUAACACGUGGGCAACCUGCCUGUAAGACUGGGAUAACUUCGGGAAACCGAAGCUAAUACCGGAUAGGAUCUUCUCCUUCAUGGGAGAUGAUUGAAAGAUGGUUUCGGCUAUCACUUACAGAUGGGCCCGCGGUGCAUUAGCUAGUUGGUGAGGUAACGGCUCACCAAGGCAACGAUGCAUAGCCGACCUGAGAGGGUGAUCGGCCACACUGGGACUGAGACACGGCCCAGACUCCUACGGGAGGCAGCAGUAGGGAAUCUUCCGCAAUGGACGAAAGUCUGACGGAGCAACGCCGCGUGAGUGAUGAAGGCUUUCGGGUCGUAAAACUCUGUUGUUAGGGAAGAACAAGUACGAGAGUAACUGCUCGUACCUUGACGGUACCUAACCAGAAAGCCACGGCUAACUACGUGCCAGCAGCCGCGGUAAUACGUAGGUGGCAAGCGUUAUCCGGAAUUAUUGGGCGUAAAGCGCGCGCAGGCGGUUUCUUAAGUCUGAUGUGAAAGCCCACGGCUCAACCGUGGAGGGUCAUUGGAAACUGGGGAACUUGAGUGCAGAAGAGAAAAGCGGAAUUCCACGUGUAGCGGUGAAAUGCGUAGAGAUGUGGAGGAACACCAGUGGCGAAGGCGGCUUUUUGGUCUGUAACUGACGCUGAGGCGCGAAA